GACGAACGCUGGCGGCGUGCCUAACACAUGCAAGUCGAACGGAACUGUUUUGAAAGAUUUCUUCGGAAUGAAUUUGAUUUAGUUUAGUGGCGGACGGGUGAGUAACGCGUGAGUAACCUGCCUUCAAGAGGGGAAUAACAUUCUGAAAAGAAUGCUAAUACCGCAUGACAUAUCGGAACCACAUGGUUUUGAUAUCAAAGAUUUUAUCGCUUGAAGAUGGACUCGCGUCCGAUUAGUUAGUUGGUGAGGUAACGGCUCACCAAGACCGCGAUCGGUAGCCGGAGUGAGAGGUUGAGCGGCCACAUUGGGACUGAGGCACGGCCCAGACUCCUACGAGAGGCAGCAGUGGGGGAUAUUGCGCAAGGGGGGCAACCCUGACGCAGCAACGGCGCGUGAAGGAUGAAGGUUGUCGGAGUGGAAACUUCUUUUAUUAAGGACGAAAAAUGACGGUACUUAAUGAAUAAGCUCCGGCUAACUACGUG
Molecule: ribosomal RNA, 482 nt
Filed under: uncultured bacterium
Lineage: Bacteria
Description: partial 16S ribosomal RNA
Rfam family: Bacterial small subunit ribosomal RNA
Source: RNAcentral